This 253-nucleotide ribosomal RNA is filed under the name uncultured bacterium. RNAcentral describes it as "partial 16S ribosomal RNA". It matches the Rfam family "Bacterial small subunit ribosomal RNA", at positions 524 to 776 of the family's 1533-position model. The record is from RNAcentral.
GACGAACCGAGCGAACGUUAUUCGGAAUCACUGGACUUAAAGGGCGCGUAGGCGGACUGCCAAGUCAGGGGUGAAAGCCCGUGGCUCAACCGCGGAAGUGCCUUUGAUACUGGCGGUCUCGAGGGAGGUAGGGGCGUGCGGAACUUCCGGUGGAGCGGUGAAAUGCGUAGAUAUCGGAAGGAACACCGGUGGCGAAAGCGGCUCACUGGACCGUCUCUGACGCUGAGGUGCGAAAGCCAGGGUAGCGAACGGG